This 253-nucleotide ribosomal RNA is filed under the name uncultured bacterium. RNAcentral describes it as "partial 16S ribosomal RNA". It matches the Rfam family "Bacterial small subunit ribosomal RNA", at positions 524 to 776 of the family's 1533-position model. The record is from RNAcentral.
UACGAAGGGGGCUAGCGUUGUUCGGAAUUACUGGGCGUAAAGGGCGCGCAGGCGGCCCUUCAAGUCAGAUGUGAAAGCCCCGGGCUCAACCCGGGAACGGCAUUUGAGACUGAAGGGCUUGAGUUCGGGAGAGGAGAGUGGAAUUCCCAGUGUAGAGGUGAAAUUCGUAGAUAUUGGGAAGAACACCGGUGGCGAAGGCGGCUCUCUGGACCGACACUGACGCUGAGGCGCGAAAGCGUGGGGAGCAAACAGG